RNAcentral lists this non-coding RNA (30 nucleotides) under Homo sapiens (human). The record is from RNAcentral. Lineage: Eukaryota; Metazoa; Chordata; Mammalia; Primates; Hominidae.
UGUAAGCUCAACUGGCCAGUCAUCCAGGUC